This is an RNA transcript of Nomascus leucogenys (northern white-cheeked gibbon), 707 nucleotides long. It is a transcript of the gene named translation machinery-associated protein 16 pseudogene, with no coding region annotated. The transcript has a single exon. Lineage: Eukaryota; Metazoa; Chordata; Mammalia; Primates; Hylobatidae. The record is from RefSeq and is a predicted model, not a curated record.
ACCUGGGUCUAGAGUGCGGAACUGCUCCGUGGCCACGAGGACGUCACCAUGCCUAAAGCACCAACGGGAAAAAGUGCAGGACGGGAAAAAAAAGUCAUCCAUCCAUAUAGUAGAAAAGCAGCUCAAAUUAAGAGAGAGGCCCACAAACAAGAAAAAAAGGAAAAAUUGAAGAAUGAAAAGGGCUUGUGUCUCAACCUUGUUGGUGAAAAACUUCAAUGGUUUCAAAAUCAUCUUGAUCCCCAAAAAAAGAGAUAUUCAAAGAAAGAUGCUUGUGAACUAAUUGAAAGGUACUUAAAUCGAUUCAGCAGUGAGCUGGAGCAGAUUGAGUUACAUAACAGUAUCAGGGACAGGCAGGGGAGGCGGCACUGUUCCCGGGAGACCGUCAUCAAGCAGACGAUGGAGCGGGAGCGACAGCAGUUUGAAGGAUAUGGCCUUGAGAUUCCAGACAUUCUAAAUGCAAGUAAUCUGAAAACAUUUAGGGAAUGGGACUUUGAUCUGAAGAAAUUACCAAACAUUAAAAUGAGAAAAAUUUGCCACAAAUGAUGCAAUCCCCAAGAAGUGCAAGAGGAAAACUGUUAUAACUGUAGACCAAGAUUUGGGGGAAUUGGAACUAAAUGAUGAAUCAAGUGAUUCAGAUGAGGAAAUGACUGCAGUGGCCUAAUUGUCUUCACUUGAAUUGAAAAUAAAUAAUUUGAGAGCUUCAAAUU